ACAGCCAUAGUUUAUUGGAUGUUUACGUUCCUACAUGGACACCUGCGGUAAUUCUGGAGCUAAUACAUGCACAAGCCGACGACCUUACGGAAGUCGCGCAUUUGUUAGAUCAAACCAAUCGGUCCUCCGGGACCGUAAUUUGAUGACUCUGAACAACUUAGCUGACCGCACAGUCUCGUACUGGCGGCAUAUCUUUCAAGUGUCUGCCUUAUCAACUUUCGUUGGUAGUUUAUACGACUACCAAGGUUGUAACGGGUAACGGAGAAUAAGGGUUCGACUCCGGAGAGGGAGCCUGAGAAACGGCUACCACAUCCAAGGAAGGCAGCAGGCGCGCAAAUUACCCACUCGCAGAACGCGGAGGUAGUGACGAAAAAUAACGAGGUGGCUCUCUAUGAGGUCCAUCAUCGGAAUGGGUACAAUUUAAAUCCUUUAACGAGGAUCUAUUGGAGGGCAAGUCUGGUGCCAGCAGCCGCGGUAAUUCCAGCUCCAAUAGCGUAUACUAAAGUUGUUGCGGUUAAAAAGCUCGUAGUUGGAUCUGCGCUCUGUGAGAGCGGUCGCUCGCUGAGUUGUACUGUCUCUCACGGGCUAACCAUUCGGUUUUCCCUUGAUGCUCUUCAUUGAGUGUCCUGGGUGACCGAAACGUUUACUUUGAAAAAAUUAGAGUGCUCAAAGCAGGCGAUUUGCCCGAAUAUUCGUGCAUGGAAUAAUAAAAGAGGUCCUUGUAGCCUUUUAUUGGUUAUCGCUACGAGGAAAUGAUCGAAGGGGACAGACGGGGGCAUUUGUAUUGCGACGUUAGAGGUGAAAUUCUUGGAUCGUCGCAAGACAAACUACUGCGAAAGCAUUUGCCAAGAAUGUUUUCAUCAAUCAAGAACGAAAG
RNAcentral lists this ribosomal RNA (877 nucleotides) under Trichodorus obtusus. Its description in RNAcentral is "SSU rRNA". It matches the Rfam family "Eukaryotic small subunit ribosomal RNA", at positions 106 to 989 of the family's 1831-position model. Lineage: Eukaryota; Metazoa; Nematoda; Enoplea; Triplonchida; Trichodoridae. The record is from RNAcentral.